CACUCCUACGGGAGGCAGCAGUGGGGAAUUUUGGACAAUGGGGGCAACCCUGAUCCAGCAAUGCCGCGUGAGUGAAGAAGGCCUUCGGGUUGUAAAGCUCUUUUGUCAGGGAAGAAACGGUGGUGGCGAAUAACUACUACUAAUGACGGUACCUGAAGAAUAAGCACCGGCUAACUACGUGCCAGCAGCCGCGGUAAUACGUAGGGUGCAAGCGUUAAUCGGAAUUACUGGGCGUAAAGCGUGCGCAGGCGGUUGUGUAAGUCAGAUGUGAAAUCCCCGGGCUCAACCUGGGAAUUGCAUUUGAGACUGCACGGCUAGAGUGUGUCAGAGGGGGGUAGAAUUCCACGUGUAGCAGUGAAAUGCGUAGAUAUGUGGAGGAAUACCGAUGGCGAAGGCAGCCCCCUGGGAUAACACUGACGCUCAUGCACGAAAGCGUGGGGAGCAAACAGGAUUAGAUACCCCAGUAGUCCCAUG
Molecule: ribosomal RNA, 474 nt
Filed under: uncultured organism
Description: partial 16S ribosomal RNA
Rfam family: Bacterial small subunit ribosomal RNA
Source: RNAcentral